AAAUAUUUUUGGAAUGCUGAGGUGCAAUAGACAGCGAGGACAAGUGAGGAGCUACACUUCUGUCCUCAGCACCACGACAACACCUCACCAUCAUCCAGAUCACCAUGAAUUCGUUGCGUGUCCUGUUGGUCGUCUUCCUGGCUGUCUGCCUGAUCAGCGCUGUGUCAGCACAUCACCAGCCGCCAGGAGGGGCUGAUUGGCUUGAGAGGCUGCGGCAGCACUGCCUUGCCGAGGUGCACGACCCUGUUGAACACGACCUGGUUCAUCAAGGCCACGACCAUGACGAACACUGUGAACAGUUUGGUUUCUAACCAUGAAGAAUUUAACUGCACAAGACCUUUUAGUGUGUUUUUUAAUGUUUCAAAAUGUGACAUUAAUAAAUGAAAAUAUACAAGAUCUUUAAGAUUACUUUCUGUCAAUAUUUCAAAACUUGACACACUGAAUCACAAUAAAUAAAACACUUGUGUGCCAAACUAAACCAAAAUAAAGAAUUAGAUAAA
Cherax quadricarinatus is the source of this 500-nucleotide long non-coding RNA. RefSeq lists it as uncharacterized. Lineage: Eukaryota; Metazoa; Arthropoda; Malacostraca; Decapoda; Parastacidae. The record is from RefSeq and is a predicted model, not a curated record.